UGCAAGUCGAGGGGUAGAGGAAGCUUGCUUCCUUGAGACCGGCGCACGGGUGCGUAACGCGUAUGCAAUCUGCCUUGUACUGAGGGAUAGCCCAGAGAAAUUUGGAUUAAUACCUCAUAGCAUUAUGAAAUCGCAUGGUUUUAUAAUUAAAGUUCCAACGGUACAAGAUGAGCAUGCGUCCCAUUAGUUAGUUGGUAAGGUAACGGCUUACCAAGACGAUGAUGGGUAGGGGUCCUGAGAGGGAGAUCCCCCACACUGGUACUGAGACACGGACCAGACUCCUACGGGAGGCAGCAGUGAGGAAUAUUGGUCAAUGGACGCAAGUCUGAACCAGCCAUGCCGCGUGCAGGAUGAAGCAUCUAUGGUGUGUAAACUGCUUUUGUACGGGAAGAAACACUCCUACGUGUAGGAACUUGACGGUACCGUAAGAAUAAGGAUCGGCUAACUCCGUGCCAGCAGCCGCGGUAAUACGGAGGAUCCAAGCGUUAUCCGGAAUCAUUGGGUUUAAAGGGUCCGUAGGCGGCUUUAUAAGUCAGUGGUGAAAGCCCAUCGCUUAACGAUGGAACGGCCAUUGAUACUGUAGAGCUUGAAUUACUUGGAAGUAACUAGAAUAUGUAGUGUAGCGGUGAAAUGCUUAGAUAUUACAUGGAAUACCAAUUGCGAAGGCAGGUUACUACAAGUGGAUUGACGCUGAUGGACGAAAGCGUGGGGAGCGAACAGGAUUAGAUACCCUGGUAGUCCACGCCGUAAACGAUGGAUACUAGCUGUUCGGAGCAAUCUGAGUGGCUAAGCGUGGCUAAGCGAAAGUGAUAAGUAUCCCACCUGGGGAGUACGCACGCAAGUGUGAAACUCAAAGGAAUUGACGGGGGCCCGCACAAGCGGAGGAGCAUGUGGUUUAAUUCGAUGAUACGCGAGGAACCUUACCAGGGCUUAAAUGGGAGACGACAGGACUGGAAACAGUUUUUUCUUCGGACGUCUUUCAAGGUGCUGCAUGGUUGUCGUCAGCUCGUGCCGUGAGGUGUCAGGUUAAGUCCUAUAACGAGCGCAACCCCUAUUGUUAGUUGCCAUCGGGUCAUGCCGGGAACUCUAACAAGACUGCCGGUGCAAACCGUGAGGAAGGUGGGGAUGACGUCAAAUCAUCACGGCCCUUACGUCCUGGGCUACACACGUGCUACAAUGGACGGUACAGAGAGCAGCCACUGCGCGAGCAGGAGCGAAUCUUCAAAGCCGUUCUCAGUUCGGAUCGGAGUCUGCAACUCGACUCCGUGAAGCUGGAUUCGCUAGUAAUCGCAUAUCAGCCAUGAUGCGGUGAAUACGUUCCCGG
This 1324-nucleotide ribosomal RNA is filed under the name Flavobacterium suncheonense. RNAcentral's name for it is "bacterial SSU rRNA". It matches the Rfam family "Bacterial small subunit ribosomal RNA", at positions 56 to 1377 of the family's 1533-position model. The record is from RNAcentral. Lineage: Bacteria; Pseudomonadati; Bacteroidota; Flavobacteriia; Flavobacteriales; Flavobacteriaceae.